UACGGGGGGGGCAAGCGUUGUUCGGAAUUACUGGGCGUAAAGGGCGCGUAGGCGGUUCGAUAAGUCAGCUGUGAAAACCAUGGGCUUAACUCAUGGCCUGCAGUUGAGACUGUCGGGCUGGAGUGUGGGAGAGGAGAGUGGAAUUCCUGGUGUAGCGGUGAAAUGCGUAGAUAUCAGGAGGAACACCGGUGGCGAAGGCGGCUCUCUGGACCACAACUGACGCUGAGGCGCGAAAACUAGGGGAGCAAACAGG
Molecule: ribosomal RNA, 253 nt
Filed under: uncultured bacterium
Lineage: Bacteria
Description: partial 16S ribosomal RNA
Rfam family: Bacterial small subunit ribosomal RNA
Source: RNAcentral